UUUAUGAUCUUACUCCUUUCCCUCCCCACUGAUUGUCGGGGAAACUCGAUUAUUCCAUUAAGAUAAUCGCUUCGAUUAGCCUGUCAGUUGAGGCCCUAAUCAGUUAGUCGACACACGACCGAUUUCCAACAGAUUGAUGCCUGUGUAAACUUACAGAAAAUUGCGCAUACGAAGCGUAGGCCUCGGACAAGGGACAAUACAAAGUUUAACUACUUGAUAUGCAGACGAGGAGGCAUUGGAAAUUAUGAAGAUGCAAGAGAUGAUGACAGCUGUGGACCGUUCUGCCACAGGGGAAUUCGUUCGGUGGCCCUAGGCUGGUCACGUUUCACUCGAGAAAAGAACGUAAAAUAAAUAAACCCAUUUGUUAACCAUUUGACUACGUGUCGAGAUCAUUUGAGUGGUCUGUUUGCCAACGAACUGUUAAGUUCUUGCUGCUCCGAAUGUUUUAGUUCUCGGCAAGAAAAGCAAUCAAAUGAAGUCGACUAUCAUUAUUCAUUUAAACCCUCUAACAGGAAGGAGAGGCAAAUAAAAGAGUAAGCAAA
Drosophila pseudoobscura is the source of this 542-nucleotide long non-coding RNA. RefSeq lists it as uncharacterized. The record is from RefSeq and is a predicted model, not a curated record. The transcript is spliced from 2 exons. NCBI's taxonomy places the organism in Eukaryota, Metazoa, Arthropoda, Insecta, Diptera, Drosophilidae.